Molecule: ribosomal RNA, 285 nt
Filed under: uncultured Pseudomonadota bacterium
Lineage: Bacteria; Pseudomonadati; Pseudomonadota
Description: uncultured proteobacterium partial 16S ribosomal RNA
Rfam family: Bacterial small subunit ribosomal RNA
Source: RNAcentral
GGAAACUUGUGCUAAUACCUCAUAAGUCUUUACGGAGAAAGCUUUAUGCGCCAAUGGAUGAGCCCGCAUUUGAUUAGUUUGUUGGUAGGGUAAUGGCCUACCAAGACUGUGAUCAAUAGCUGAUCUGAGAGGAUGAUCAGCCACAUUGGGACUGAGACACGGCCCAAACUCCUACGGGAGGCAGCAGUAGGGAAUAUUGCACAAUGGAGGAAACUCUGAUGCAGCGAUGCCGCGUGAGUGAAGAAGGCCUUUGGGUUGUAAAGCUCUUUCGUCGGGGAAGAAAAU